This is a long non-coding RNA of Oncorhynchus tshawytscha (Chinook salmon), 1384 nucleotides long. Lineage: Eukaryota; Metazoa; Chordata; Actinopteri; Salmoniformes; Salmonidae. The record is from Ensembl.
UGGUUGUGUUGUAACAUGGUCCUAUAUGGGGUCUCUAGGUGGUGUUGAUGGUUGUGUUGUAACAUGGUCCUAUGUGGGGUCUCUAGGUGUUGAUGGUUGUGUUGUAACAUGGUCCUAUAUGGGGUCUCUAGGUGGUGUUGAUGGUUGUGUUGUAACAUGGUCCUAUAUGGGGUCUCUAGGUGUUGAUGGUUGUGUUGUAACAUGGUCCUAUAUGGGGUCUCUAGGAGGUGUUGAUGGUUGUGUUAUAACAUGGUCCUAUAUGGGGUCUCUAGGUGUUGAUGGUUGUUUUAUAACAUGGUUCUAUAUGGGGUCUCUAGGAGGUGUUGAUGGUUGUGUUGUAACAUGGUCCUAUAUGGGGUCUCUAGGUGGUGUUGAUGGUUGUGUUGUAACAUGGUCCUAUAUGGGGUCUCUAGGUGUUGAUGGUUGUGUUGUAACAUGGUCCUAUAUGGGGUCUCUAGGUGGUGUUGAUGGGUGUGUUGUAACAUGGUCAUAUAUGGGGUCUCUAGGUGGUGUUGAUGGUUGUGUUGUAACAUGGUCCUAUAUGGUGUCUAUAGGUGUUGAUGGUUGUGUUGUAACAUGGUCCUAUAUGGGGUCUGUAGGUGUUGAUGGUUGUGUUGUAACAUGGUCCUAUAUGGGGUCUCUAGGAGGUGUUGAUGGUUGUGUUGUAACAUGGUGCCAUAUGGGGUCUCUAGGAGGUGUUGAUGGUUGUGUUGUAACAUGGUCCUAUAUGGGGUCUCUAGGUGUUGAUGGUUGUGUUGUAAGAUGGUCCUAUAUGGGGUCUCUAGGUGUUGAUGGUUGUGUUGUAACAUGGUCCUAUAUGGGGUCUCUAGGUGUUGAUGGUUGUGUUGUAAAAUGGUCCUAUAUAGGUGUUGAUGGUUGUGUUGUAACAUGGUCCUAUAUGGGGUCUCUAGGUUUUGAUGGUUGUGUUGUAACAUGGUCCUAUAUGGGGUCUGUAGGUGUUGAUGGUUGUGAUGUAACAUGGUCCUAUAUGGGGUCUCUAGGUGUUGAUGGUUCUGUUGUAACAUGGUCCUAUAUGGGGUCUCUAGGUGUUGAUGGUUGUGUUGUAACAUGGUCCUAUAUGGGGUCUCUAGGUGUUGAUGGUUGUUGGGGGACAGGUAGUGGCUGUGUUUGGAGGUAUAUUUAGCUGGGGGACAGGUAGUGGCUGUGACUGGAGGUAUAUUUAGCUGGGGGACAGGUAGUGGCUGUGACUGGAGGUAUAUUUAGCUGGGGGACAGGUAGUGGCUGUGACUUGGGGUAUAUUUAGCUGGGGGGACCGUUUUUGUGUGGCUAGUAGUCCCUAGAAAUGCCAGAAGCUAGGAAGAAACCUAGAGAGGAACCAGGCUAUGAGGGGUGGCCAGUCCUCUUCUGGCUGUGCCGGGUGGAG